Molecule: ribosomal RNA, 492 nt
Filed under: uncultured bacterium
Lineage: Bacteria
Description: partial 16S ribosomal RNA
Rfam family: Bacterial small subunit ribosomal RNA
Source: RNAcentral
AGUGAACGCUGGCGGUAGGCCUAACACAUGCAAGUCGAACGGCAGCACAGUAAGAGCUUGCUCUUGCGGGUGGCGAGUGGCGGACGGGUGAGGAAUACAUCGGAAUCUACUUUUUCGUGGGGGAUAACGUAGGGAAACUUACGCUAAUACCGCAUACGACCUACGGGUGAAAGCAGGGGAUCUUCGGACCUUGCGCGAUUGAAUGAGCCGAUGUCGGAUUAGCUAGUUGGCGGGGUAAAGGCCCACCAAGGCGACGAUCCGUAGCUGGCCUGAGAGGAUGAUCAGCCACACUGGAACUGAGACACGGUCCAGACUCCUACGGGAGGCAGCAGUGGGGAAUAUUGGACAAUGGGCGCAAGCCUGAUCCAGCCAUACCGCGUGGGUGAAGAAGGCCUUCGGGUUGUAAAGCCCUUUUGUUGGGAAAGAAAAGCAGCAGGUUAAUACCCCGCUGUUCUGACGGUACCCAAAGAAUAAGCACCGGCUAACUUCGUG